UAUUUCCACGUCAAAUAGAUUGCCCAAGGUGCAAAUCUAUUUAAAACAGUUCUUGAGUGUUAACAUUUAAAUGUUGUUAUUUUUGUUCCGAGGACAGCGUACUUCCGCUGAAGAAAUCUGGGCCUUGGCUGGGAAGGAACAAAGAUGUGAGAGCCACAGGACAGAGCGUGCAUCAUCUUGAUGGUGAAAGGCUAUGGCCGGCUGAUACUGAUUCUUGUAAGGAUUCCGGAUGGAACUUAGCAACUAUGCCAGUAUUUGCUUUCCCGAUUGUUUCUUAAGCAGGUCUUUAUGCCAUCAGCAAUGCAAAGACCUCAUUAUGCAUUAACUCCUUUAGUCAUACAGAGCCCCCUCACCCCUGAAACAGACAUCAUAGGGCCCCAUACUUAGUUACUUCUCUCACCAACGUGCUUACAAACCCAGCUAACGCAACCUGAGGGAGGAAAGGUUUCUUCUGGCUCAUGUUUGGGGAAUGGUGGCUGACUCAUCUGAAGAAAGUUCUCCUGGCGUCCCCUGUUACUGUGGCUACCACUUGUCUGUCUCUCUACCUGGCUGGUUCAGCGCAAGCCAGGCGAUUGUCUAUACUACCUGCUACCUGCACAGAGGCUGGCACGCAACAGUUAAUUGCUAAGUUAGUUGACAGAAAGACAGGACCAAUGAAUGUGUAGAAGGAAGACGCUGCCUUAAAGUCACCAGCACCCGCUCACCUCCUAAAAUGGCCCCGAAUGAAACUGAAGGACAUAACUUGAAGCUUUUAUCCUUGUGACAGCUCACCUCAAGGAGCUGCUUCGGGGCUAUCAAAUACUUAUGGUUUGAGGCAUGUUUUGUAAUCUCUUUUAUUCAUAGUUUGAAGAAUGUUAAUAAAGAUAAUUAAAGCCAGCACCAUCCACCGCGGGAGUCAAAAGCUGCUCUGCGACUCUUCUUGACCCGCUGCGUUAUUAAUUUAAAAGUAAGAGCUAGCUGGAGAACUUGGUUGCUUUUGCAAAUGUUCAGAAGCCGGGGCAAUGAGGCUUUCUCAAAACAGUUGUAGGAGAAAAUGGCACCGGAAACGUUAGCUGUGGCUGGAGGAACUUUCCCCUCGCAAAGAAAGGCUUAGGGCCUUUUGUUGGUAAAUGGCAGGUGGGUUGUACAAUUCCAGGGUAAUUUCAGAAAGCCAUCUUCUGAACGUAAUAAACACAUCUGCAAUAAUAGGAUUCAGAAAAUAGCAAAAUGCAUUCCAGACGCCCUUUGAUUGUGCAUAUAGAACAGAGAAUUUAGCUAUAAUUGGCUAUAACACAGUUAUGGACAGCAAAUGACACACCGUGGAGUUGGGCGAUGUGCAGUUCUGAUUAGAGAUGGUGUGUUUCAGACAAACGCCACCAACAGAACAGCGGCAGGUACAUGGUGACACAGCACCCCCCCCCCCAGCCUCCCUCCCUUUCUCCCUCCCUUCCUGUUUAAUGAAAUCAUAAAUUAGACCAGAAAACUUAUUCUAUUAUUUUUCAACUGAUCAAUUGACAGCCAAUACACCAUUUUCUUCAGAGGCUACGACUGUGUGAGAGAGGGAAGUGGGAGCCCACGGAGAAUUGACUUUUGGAGAACUAGAUGUAAUUUGAAUCAAGAAUUAUAAUGGGAAAUAAACCAUUACAAUAAACAAGGAAACAUGUACACAAUUACUUUCAUGCUGUAAUUUUAUUCACUCUAGUUGGGAAAAUAAAGAGAUAAUACUGACCGUAGCACCUGGGUAUUUAAUGCAAACUGUAAAAUCUAUUAUAUUAAACAAAGUCAAAAGCAAUGUGAAAGAUCUUGAAUCUAUUCAAGGCAUGCACCUCAUUACAGACUUAGCAAAUUAAAACACAAAUAGGAUUAGAAAAGAAUAAUGUAACAAUCUCCCACCAGGUCCCUAGAGCAUUAAGUCAUAAAUUGGGUUUGCAUUAAAUUGUGCCUGCAGUAUUGAAUUCAGGGAAAGAGCUGUGGGCUGGAGAUAAACCAUGCCGGGCUACUCACCAACUUUGGCAAAGCUAUGUGUUUUCUGAGACGUGCAGUAAAUUUGUUAGACUAAAACAGCUCCAAAGAAAGAAAUCAAGCACUUCAUAUCUCAAUUUAAAA
Molecule: long non-coding RNA, 2085 nt
Organism: Rattus norvegicus (Norway rat)
Lineage: Eukaryota; Metazoa; Chordata; Mammalia; Rodentia; Muridae
Source: RefSeq, a predicted model, not a curated record